UGGGGAAUAUUGCACAAUGGGCGCAAGCCUGAUGCAGCCAUGCCGCGUGUAUGAAGAAGGCCUUCGGGUUGUAAAGUACUUUCAGCGGGGAGGAAGGGAGUAAAGUUAAUACCUUUGCUCAUUGACGUUACCCGCAGAAGAAGCACCGGCUAACUCCGUGCCAGCAGCCGCGGUAAUACGGAGGGUGCAAGCGUUAAUCGGAAUUACUGGGCGUAAAGCGCACGCAGGCGGUUUGUUAAGUCAGAUGUGAAAUCCCCGGGCUCAACCUGGGAACUGCAUCUGAUACUGGCAAGCUUGAGUCUCGUAGAGGGGGGUAGAAUUCCUGGUGUAGCGGUGAAAUGCGUAGAGAUCUGGAGGAAUACCGGUGGCGAAGGCGGCCCCCUGGACGAAGACUGACGCUCAGGUGCGAAAGCGUGGGGAGCAAACAGG
This 429-nucleotide ribosomal RNA is filed under the name Chloroflexota bacterium. RNAcentral describes it as "Chloroflexi bacterium partial 16S ribosomal RNA". It matches the Rfam family "Bacterial small subunit ribosomal RNA", at positions 355 to 776 of the family's 1533-position model. Lineage: Bacteria; Bacillati; Chloroflexota. The record is from RNAcentral.